This 253-nucleotide ribosomal RNA is filed under the name uncultured bacterium. Its description in RNAcentral is "partial 16S ribosomal RNA". It matches the Rfam family "Archaeal small subunit ribosomal RNA", at positions 474 to 727 of the family's 1478-position model. The record is from RNAcentral.
UACCAGCACCCCGAGUGGUCGGGACGUUUAUUGGGCCUAAAGCCUCCGUAGCCGGUUCUACAAGUCUUCCGUUAAAUCCAACUGCUUAACAGAUGGGCCGCGGAGGAUACUAUAAGACUAGGAGGCAGGAGAGGCAAGCGGUACUCAGUGGGUAGGGGUAAAAUCCGUUGAUCCAUUGAAGACCACCAGUGGCGAAGGCGGCUUGCCAGAAUGCGCUCGACGGUGAGGGAUGAAAGCUGGGGGAGCAAACCGG